AUUGAGGGGGGCCGUUACGUCAACGCGCCGCCGCUUGGUUGCUCGAGUGGACUGUUUACAUCCGUGUUGGUAGAGACUGCCGAAGCUGCCAACCACUGUACAAAAGUCUAUUUUGCUGCGUGAGGAACCGAAUGUGGACAAUUGAGACGGUAGUCGUGCUCAUGGAGAGCAGGAACACAUAUGUUUGGAGCAGAUACAGCAGCAGCAAUAUUGUCCCGCACAUGGUCUCCUGCUCCUGCAGCAAGGUUGUGAGGCGGAGGCGUCAUCAUGGUCUUCAUCAUCUGCUGGCUCAAUGAUGUCCCCAUUGACCAAAGCGAGAUUGUGAAGCGCAGCAUACAACAACCUCAGACAGGAAGGCAGGCCUCACCUUGAAGAAAAUACUGCGCCGGCGUGCUUUUAGCAUGGCAAAACAGGGUUUAUACAGGGUUCUGUACAGGCUCACGGUAUGGGGUGAUGAUGCAGAUAGGUGCACUCAGGCAAGGAUAGCUACCGUCCCCGAGGAUGCACUUUCCAGCAGGUGGAUCAAGGCUGCCAGGAUACACAGGGCUGUUCCUCAGCACCCUGGAAUCAUGCACAGACAUCAAGGAAUUUCCCUCGGUGAUCAGUGGUGGCCUGGAGUUGCACAGUUUCCGGUUGUAGUAACAGUGGGAGUUAUGUGCUGGAGGUUUAAUCCGGAUAUGAUAGCCAUGUAGUGCACCAACAGCUCUGCUGAAAGCUGGUGACCCAGCCAGCUGUGCAAAUCCUGCUCCCAUUGCCUCCAGGUCAUGGCCAGUUGAAAAGGAAAUUACCCUCUUCCAAAUUCCUACAAUUGCCUUGCUCACCCUAUGCACGAUGUCAUGCACAGAGGACUUAGGGAUUUCCAAAGCCUAUGACACCACCCUGAAGGAUGCUGCAUGGACCAGCCAGUACAGGAACACAAUCACCUCGAUGUCUGUUUUCCAUCUAUGGUCACAGUCCAAUCUGACUGCAGCAAUGAGGGACCUCAUGGACAGCAAAGACAGGCGAAGGUGGCCACGGUGGUCUGCGUCUUCAUGCAUGUAAAGCCACAGAAUUGGCACUGUGUGGUUUAAAUAGCAGUAGGUUGUUGGAUUCUCCACCUGGGAAUAUGGGAUUAUAUAUCAUUAAAAAGGCGUUGUUCUACUUUGGGUGAAAUGUCUGUUUUUUUAUUUGUCAUAGUUAUUUGUAUUUCUUCAGUUUUUAAAUUGUUUGUAAUGUUGUCAUUUGUAUUGUACUCUGUUUAUGAAUUAAAUGUAAUUGAGUUAUUAGUUAUUGUGUUGCUUCAUUGCCUUAUGUCGAACAUUUCUGUUCAUACACUGAUAAAAAUAAUCUGUUGCACAUAAUUAAAUUAGGUUUUCUUAAAAGAAAAUAAACAUUAAUUGAAAAUAUUUUCAUUUUAAGACAACUUCUUUUUUUAAGUGAAAUCAUUGUUUCAAAACUUAAUUCAAUCAUGUGCAAUCUGAGAUUUCUUUUAGUGUAGGUGCAUUUUUGUAGUCUGCUGAUGUGAUGUCACAAUUCUAAACAACAAUUUGUGUCUUUAACUGCACUGAAAAAGUCACACGCUGGCUUUACUAAAGUGUAGUGCAUCAAUUUUGCAUGCGUUUUUUUUAAAUAAGUUACACAGGUACUGAGAAAAAUUGGUUCAAUUGCUUACUUUCCAUGGGAAGCUUAUUUAAGAAGAUAAUGCAUUAGUUUGCCUUCCACUUAUUCAA
This is a non-coding RNA of Paramisgurnus dabryanus, 1709 nucleotides long. NCBI's taxonomy places the organism in Eukaryota, Metazoa, Chordata, Actinopteri, Cypriniformes, Cobitidae. The record is from RefSeq and is a predicted model, not a curated record.